CACGUAGGGACCAAGCGUUGUCCGGAUUUAUUGGGCGUAAAGAGCUCGUAGGCGGUUCCGCAAGUCGGGUGUGAAAACUCUGGGCUUAACCCAGAGCCUGCAUCCGAUACUGCGGUGACUAGAGUCCGGUAGGGGAGUGGGGAAUUCCUAGUGUAGCGGUGAAAUGCGCAGAUAUUAGGAGGAACACCGGUGGCGAAGGCGCCACUCUGGGCCGGUACUGACGCUGAGGAGCGAAAGCGUGGGUAGCAAACAGG
This 254-nucleotide ribosomal RNA is filed under the name uncultured bacterium. Its description in RNAcentral is "partial 16S ribosomal RNA". It matches the Rfam family "Bacterial small subunit ribosomal RNA", at positions 524 to 776 of the family's 1533-position model. The record is from RNAcentral.